CAUAUUUCAAGGAUAUUAUUUACAUGCAAGUUAUUUCAUUUGUUCAAAGAUCUCCUCCAAUAUUUGUCCACACUAGGUCAUUUUCGACCAAUACUGGUGAACUUGAUGCUGUUGUUCCGUUCAUGGGGGAAUUCAUCACCGAUGGCACUCUAUCUAACUUUUUGAAGCGUAUUUUGUUCAUGGGGGAUCAGAAACCAGUGACCGUGUAGAAGUGGAUGAACCAAUUGCACAAAUAGGACCAAUAAGGUGACAAUUGAUGUGAGUAGUCCGGAAGCAGGUGUAAUUGAACAGAGCUGGAGAGAUCAGGACAAGCCGAUUGAGCAUAUUUUUCAAAUAUCCCAAGAGAAAACAAAGAGUUUCGGUAUGAGGUUCAUUCCUUAAGAUGUGAAUCUGAUGGAUACCAUUGAAAGCUUGAAGGAGAAAGACAUCUUAAGCGUAUGAAU
Hibiscus syriacus is the source of this 443-nucleotide long non-coding RNA. RefSeq lists it as uncharacterized. The record is from RefSeq and is a predicted model, not a curated record. The transcript is spliced from 4 exons. Lineage: Eukaryota; Viridiplantae; Streptophyta; Magnoliopsida; Malvales; Malvaceae.